This 298-nucleotide unclassified non-coding RNA is filed under the name Hevea brasiliensis (rubber tree). The record is from RNAcentral. Lineage: Eukaryota; Viridiplantae; Streptophyta; Magnoliopsida; Malpighiales; Euphorbiaceae.
AAAGCCAUGGAUGUUGAAAUGAGACUAAACUUACAGCCAAGUACUCCCACACUCAGAUUUCCUCAAUGUUUCCAGUAAAACUAACUCCUUCCUUAAAACAAUGAAUCUCAGGUCAAAUAUGAUAACAAUUUACAGGUUAGCCUAUUUCCUAAUUACAUUUUUAUAAUUUUUGUUUAUGUAACAAUUGCAAGCAAAGCACCAACAAUUAUGGUGGCUGUUAUUUACAGGUUUUGAAGAGGGCCGUUACGUGUGAUACCAUUAUUUAUAGGCCAAUAGGUACUUGCAGGUGUAACGGCCA